RNAcentral lists this ribosomal RNA (372 nucleotides) under uncultured organism. RNAcentral's name for it is "partial 16S ribosomal RNA". It matches the Rfam family "Bacterial small subunit ribosomal RNA", at positions 527 to 896 of the family's 1533-position model. The record is from RNAcentral.
GGAGGGUGCGAGCGUUAAUCGGAAUUACUGGGCGUAAAGCGCGCGUAGGCGGCUUGGUCAGUCGGAUGUGAAAGCCCCCGGGCUUAACCUGGGAAUUGCAUCCGAUACUGCCAGACUAGAGUAUGGGAGAGGGAAGCGGAAUUUCCGGUGUAGCGGUGAAAUGCGUAGAUAUCGGAAGGAACACCAGUGGCGAAGGCGGCUUCCUGGCCCAAUACUGACGCUGAGGUGCGAAAGCGUGGGGAGCGAACAGGGAUUAGAUACCCUGGUAGUCCACGCCGUAAACGAUGAGAACUAGAUGUCGGGAGGAUUCGCCUCUCGGUGUCGCAGCUAACGCGUUAAGUUCUCCGCCUGGGGAGUACGCCGGCAACGGUA